GCCAGACUCCUACGGGAGGCAGCAGUGAGGAAUAUUGGUCAAUGGCCGAGAGGCUGAACCAGCCAAGUCGCGUGAGGGAAGACGGCCCUACGGGUUGUAAACCUCUUUUGUCGGGGAGCAACGAGGCCACGUGUGGCCGAAGUGAGAGUACCCGAAGAAAAAGCAUCGGCUAACUCCGUGCCAGCAGCCGCGGUAAUACGGAGGAUGCGAGCGUUAUCCGGAUUUAUUGGGUCUAAAGGGUGCGUAGGCGGAAUGCCAAGUCAGCGGUAAAAUCGCGGGGCUCAACCUCGCUCCGCCGUUGAAACUGGCGUUCUUGAGUGGGCGAGGAGUAUGCGGAAUGCGUGGUGUAGCGGUGAAAUGCAUAGAUAUCACGCAGAACUCCGAUUGCGAAGGCAGCAUACCGGCGCUCAACUGACGCUCAUGCACGAAAGUGUGGGUAUCGAACAGGAUUAGAUACCCCUGUA
RNAcentral lists this ribosomal RNA (464 nucleotides) under uncultured bacterium. Its description in RNAcentral is "bacterial SSU rRNA". It matches the Rfam family "Bacterial small subunit ribosomal RNA", at positions 330 to 792 of the family's 1533-position model. The record is from RNAcentral.